UACAGAGGUCCCAAGCGUUGUUCGGAAUUACUGGGCGUAAAGGGCUCGUAGGUGGCCAACUAAGUCAUGCGUGAAAUCCCUCGGCUUAACCGGGGAACUGCGUCUGAUACUGGAUGGCUUGAGUUUGGGAGAGGGAUGCGGAAUUCCAGGUGUAGCGGUGAAAUGCGUAGAUAUCUGGAGGAACACCGGUGGCGAAGGCGGCAUCCUGGACCAACACUGACACUGAGGAGCGAAAGCCAGGGGAGCAAACGGG
RNAcentral lists this ribosomal RNA (253 nucleotides) under uncultured bacterium. RNAcentral describes it as "partial 16S ribosomal RNA". It matches the Rfam family "Bacterial small subunit ribosomal RNA", at positions 524 to 776 of the family's 1533-position model. The record is from RNAcentral.